GUUAGCAUUGAGAUAGUCCCUACUCUCAGGCUUACUAUCUACUACAGUGGUACAUCGGGAUGCAAACAGGAUCUGUUCCGGAGCCCCAUUCGCAUCCAGAAGCAAAUGUGAACAAUAAAUUGACCAAAUUGACCCAUUAAGCCUAAAUAGGCUUUGUGUUUAGGAUCCACACUGUGCAAGCAUCAUCACACCAAAUGGAGUGAAUGUUUACUUGGUUAAAAAUGAUGGAAAGGCUGGCUUCAUCCCCUUCAACGUGCUGCCCACCUGACAGUCCAAGACUCUGUGAUUCUGCUGAUCCUUAGGAUGGAGAAAUUUGAAGACAGGUGGCACCACCAGCUGUUUCAUCACAUGGUGUUGGCUUCUGUGAGCCCCAGCCAGCAUGGCCAGUAGCCAUGGAUGAUGAGAGCUGGAGUCCAGCAGCUUCUGAAUUACGAGUGUUAUGAUGGGAGUUGUAGUCGAACAACUCUGAUUACUCUAGGCAGUCCCUCACAAGUGUAUCUGUAUAACAUUUGUCUACAGGCACUUGCUCAUGGCCCACAACCCUAA
RNAcentral lists this long non-coding RNA (546 nucleotides) under Podarcis muralis (Common wall lizard). Its description in RNAcentral is "lncRNA (ENSPMRG00000006984.1)". The record is from RNAcentral. Lineage: Eukaryota; Metazoa; Chordata; Lepidosauria; Squamata; Lacertidae.